GGGUUGUUGCUGGUCCUCAACGGGGANAGUGACUACUGACUCUGAUUCUGACGCAUCACNNNCACNNGCAUCGUGCACCCUCCGUAGUUCUGUGGUCUGGGGGACCCUGUCUUCCUGCCGUGGUUCUACGUCUUUACACACACACUGUAAUAAAGUCUUAUGGAAUGUAUGCCGCGUCUAACGCAAUACAAUACAACUUUCAGCAACGGAUCUCUUGGCUCUCGCAUCGAUGAAGAACGCAGCGAAAUGCGAUAAGUAAUGUGAAUUGCAGAAUUCAGUGAAUCAUCGAAUCUUUGAACGCACCUUGCGCCCCUUGGCUAUUCCGAGGGGCAUGCCUGUUUGAGUAUCAUGAACACCUCAACUCUCAUGGUUUGCCGUGAUGAGCUUGGACUCUGGGGGUUUUGCUGGCCUGCAGUCGGCUCCCCUCAAAUGAAUCAGCCUCCCAGUGUUUGGUGGCAUCACGGGUGUGAUAAAUAUCUACGCUCGCAGUUGUCCGCCAGGUAACCUUUGGUAACAAAGGUUCGCUGGAGCUCACAGAUGUCUCUCCUCAGCGAGGACAGCUUUUUGAACGUUCGAUCUCAAAUCAGGUAGGACUACCCGCUGAACUUAAGCAUAUCAAUAAGCGGAGGAAAAGAAACUAACAAGGAUUCCCCUAGUAACUGCGAGUGAAGCGGGAAGAGCUCAAAUUUAAAAUCUGGCGUGCCUCUGGUCGUCCGAGUUGUAGUCUAGAGAAGCGUUUUCCGUGCUGGACCGUGUACAAGUCUCCUGA
Molecule: ribosomal RNA, 769 nt
Filed under: uncultured Tomentella
Lineage: Eukaryota; Fungi; Basidiomycota; Agaricomycetes; Thelephorales; Thelephoraceae
Description: eukaryotic LSU rRNA
Rfam family: 5.8S ribosomal RNA (bases 195-349)
Source: RNAcentral